This 303-nucleotide ribosomal RNA is filed under the name uncultured bacterium. RNAcentral's name for it is "partial 16S ribosomal RNA". It matches the Rfam family "Bacterial small subunit ribosomal RNA", at positions 507 to 807 of the family's 1533-position model. The record is from RNAcentral.
AGCAGUCGCCACGGUAAUACGGAGGGUGCAAGCGUUAAUCGGAAUUACUGGGCGUAAAGCGUGCGUAGGCGGCUUUUUAAGUCGGAUGUGAAAUCCCUGAGCUUAACUUAGGAAUUGCAUUCGAUACUGGGAAGCUAGAGUAUGGGAGAGGAUGGUAGAAUUCCAGGUGUAGCGGUGAAAUGCGUAGAGAUCUGGAGGAAUACCGAUGGCGAAGGCAGCCAUCUGGCCUAAUACUGACGCUGAGGUACGAAAGCAUGGGGAGCAAACAGGAUUAGAUACCCCAGUAGUCCCUGUCUCUUAUAC